RNAcentral lists this ribosomal RNA (253 nucleotides) under uncultured bacterium. Its description in RNAcentral is "partial 16S ribosomal RNA". It matches the Rfam family "Bacterial small subunit ribosomal RNA", at positions 524 to 776 of the family's 1533-position model. The record is from RNAcentral.
UACGUAGGGUGCGAGCGUUGUCCGGAAUUAUUGGGCGUAAAGAGCUCGUAGGCGGUUUGUCGCGUCUGCUGUGAAAACCCGAGGCUCAACCUCGGGCCUGCAGUGGGUACGGGCAGACUAGAGUGCGGUAGGGGAGACUGGAAUUCCUGGUGUAGCGGUGGAAUGCGCAGAUAUCAGGAGGAACACCGAUGGCGAAGGCAGGUCUCUGGGCCGCUACUGACGCUGAGGAGCGAAAGCAUGGGGAGCGAACAGG